GGCUUUGAUAAUUGUAUAGAUACUGCUACUACUAUACCGUCGCGUGUGAUGAUCGGCAUCCCUCUAUGUCCACUUGUUUAAUUAUUACUACGUGAUGAGCAUAUUGUGAAAGCAGCAUGUGAUUUGGGGCGUGCAUGCAUGCCGUUCUUUUCCAUGUAGUAACAAAUGAUGAUCAAGAAUUCAAUAUAGACAUGGAAAUGAAAAUGCUGAUUUGAUUGCGGGACAAGAUAUUGAGUUGAAAAACUACACCUUCUGGUGCCUCGCCUACUCGUACACAAGAAAAAGUAGGACUAUUCGACGGUCUUUGAUUUGCACCAAAAAGCCUAGUUAGUGGCGGGGCACGAGUAGGAGGCAAAAGCCUAACGUUAAUUGUCCGCCACCACCAGGUAGCACUAUUUCAAUUUCAACAGACGCAGCCAUUUUUGCCGACAUUGACAAGGCAGUGUGUUGCUACAUGCACUGCACAUUUGUACUCUUGUACAGUUCUUUCGAUCCUGAGAUAGCGGAGGCUUUUAUCCUACGCACUGCUGUCUCUUUUGCACAAGACCAAGGGUUGACGUAUGUGAUUUUUGCCUCUGAUUGUCUUUCCCUGAUGCAAAGGAUCAAGUCUGACGUCAUCAAACAAACGGCCCUUGUGUUUGCGUCUUUCCCAUUCAAACGUGUUGGUCGGCAAUGUGAUGUUGUGGCUAAUGUUUUAGCCAAGUCUUGUAAAACUCUAGUGCGCUUUGUAUUUCACAUUUUGCUCCGUAGUGUAUCCGGCAGACUUUGUAUGACCUUAUUACUUAAUCAAUAAAUGCCGACAUUCUGAAAAGAGGACAGUUGUCGCAAUUUCAGGAGCUAUGCACCGAAAGUACCCUACGNNNNNNNNNNNNNNNNNNNNNNNNNNNNNNNNNNNNNNNNNNNNNNNNNNNNNNNNNNNNNNNNNNNNNNNNNNNNNNNNNNNNNNNNNNNNNNNNNNNNNNNNNNNNNNNNNNNNNNNNNNNNNNNNNNNNNNNNNNNNNNNNNNNNNNNNNNNNNNNNNNNNNNNNNNNNNNNNNNNNNNNNNNNNNNNNNNNNNNNNNNNNNNNNNNNNNNNNNNNNNNNNNNNNNNNNNNNNNNNNNNNNNUGUACUCUCUUUUUUUACGUGGAAACAAUAUGUGUACUCACCUUGAUAAAACAAGUAGAUGUACGAAUUAGCAUGCUGACCACACGAGAAAAUAUGUACUCUAAAAUAUCCAAAGUCCGUAAUCCGAUUUUGUCGGACACCAAUAGUAGGUAAUUUAGGGCAUCUCCAAUGCCAACCCUUUGAAUGGACACACUAUUUUUUCGGACUGGUCCGAAUUCGUCCGCGGAUAUUGAUAUGGGAGCCGACCAUCACCCUGUCCCCUAAACGUUUGCACCUAUUUUUUUGCCGCCGCUAUACUUGAGAGUUAUGCUGGUUCGAAGAGAUAUUUCCCUGAUGACCAAGACCUCAUUUUGAACAUGAACAACACUAGUAUUGAGAGAUUAGAGUAUAGGGAUGUUGAUGAUGUAAGUGUCUCUUGUAAGAGAGUUAGUGUUGAGAGAGUAGAGGUUGUGAUUUCCCUGAUGAUGUAAGUGUCUCUUGUAAGAGAGUUUGUGUUAAGAGACGUUUCCUGAUGGCCAUGAACUUUAAAAAGCAUGCUAUGGUUUUCCUCCUUUCGUCCUCAAGUGCAACUCCGCUGAGCCAGCCUAACAAAAAGUACACUAUUUUCUUGUUCAAGCCGGUUCUUUUUGUUCGCUUUUGUUGGGUAGUUGGUUUCCAUCUGGUGUUAUUUCUCGAUUUUUAAGUUCCGUUUUAUUUUCAUAUUCCUUUAAAAAAUAAUUUUCAGUUUCUAUCUACUUUUUUGUUUUCCCUAUUUUUCACGUAUAUAUUUUCAUUUUAAUUACAUCAAGUUUUAUAAAAAAAGGAACACUUCUGAAUAUUUUCAUUUUUAGUUAUUUACAUAAAUAUUUUCAUUUUAAUACUUUUUAUUUUUGUUUUAUAUACACCAUGCCUUUUCUUAUAUCAUUUUUGCUUCUUAUUUAUUUUCUAUUUUUUGGAAUCUUUUUUCAUAGUGUUUUCCAACAAUUUUGUUGUGUUUAUAGAAAACAAUAUGCAUCUUAGAAAAUUCUCAUUUUGUUUUUGAAAAAUGGUCAUUGUGUUUUUUAAAAGAUGGUCAUCGAGUAUUUGAAAAGUGUUUAUCUUGUACUUAAAAAUAAUUUUGACCAUGUAUAAAGAUUUGUAAAAAUUGUUCAUGUAUGGCGUAAAAACUGGAAGCAGAAAAUAAAAAAGAAACAACAACAUUUUUUCCAGAAAAACUGGCAUACUGGCCACGCUGAAGUGAAUGGUUGGAAAAAGAUGAAUAAAGUAGUCAAUUUACACAGGAGUGGAGCAAGAGAACGAGAACAACCAAUUUGGUGUGCCGGCCCAUGCAAAAGGACAUGUGACUCAUGGAAAGUGAGAUAUAGAUUAUCAGAGUUCUAAAAAAAGAGAUGCUUCUGAGUUAGUUACUCCCCCCUUUCAAAAAUAACUGGAUGCUUCUGAGUUUGAACUAAAACCAUGUCAGUUCCGAACGGAAGUAGUAGUUUACAAGAUGGACUAAUCAGAGGAGCAACCUAUAGGCCGGGCAAAGAGGGCGACCGCCCAGGGCCCUAAGAGGAGUAAAGCCCAAGUUAAAUUAUACUACUAACCACUAUACUUAUAUUUUCAAGUCCAAAAGAUUAUAAUACUAACCACUAUAUUUAUAAAAAAGGGACCAGUUUCAAAUAUUUUUCAUUUUCAGUUAGUUACAUAUUUUUUUCAUUUUUUUUCUGAAUAUUGUUUUUUGUCUUAAAUACAGCAUACCUUUUCUUGUAUCAUUUUUUUGCUUCGUAUUUAUUUUCUAUUUCUGGUCUUUUUUCAUCAUAGUGUUUUUCAACUAUUUCGUUAUGUUUCUAGAAAACAAUGUGCAUAUCAGAAAAUGCUCAUUUUGUGUUUUUGAAAAACUGUCAAUGUGUUUUUAAAACAUGGUCAUCAUGUAUUUUAAAAGUGUUUUUAUGUAUUUAAAAUAAUUUCCAUCAUGUAUAAAGAUUCAUAAAAGUGUUCAUGUAUGGUGUACAAAACUGAAAGUGAAAAAGGAAAAAAAAUGAUGUUUUCGGAAAAACUGGGAUACCCAUGGUGGAGUGAACGAUUGAUGAAAAGAGGAAUAAAAUAGUCGAGUUGAGCGAGAGAACGAGAACGACCAAUUUGGUGGGGUGGCCCACGCAAAAGGACAUGCAAGUCACUAUAAGUGAGAUAUAGACGUGUCUGAAUUAGUCAGUCCCUCCCUUCGAAAAUAAUUGGUGUGGUUUUAGUUCAAAACAAUGUAUUUUAUUUCGAAUGAAGGUAGCAGUUUAUAAGAUGGACUGAUCAGAGGAGUGACCCAUAGGCCGGGCAAAGAGGGCGACCGCCCCGGGCCCUAAGAGGUGUACGGCCCAAGUUAAAUUAUAAUACUAACCACUAUACUUAUAUCUCAAGUCUAAUAGAUUAUUGUAUGUAAGUAGAAAAAUCUUAAGUUUGCAGAGCAAGCCCACACCACAAACCAAUCUACUAAUGGAUCAUAUAUAUAAGUGUCUUAAAUUUAGUAUAACUUUGUAUUAAAGUUAGUAUAAAAUUGAGACAUUUACUUUGGACGGAGGGAGUACGUCUCAGAAGUUGUACCGAAUUCCAUGUUAAUUAGAUUUGUAUGUUUAGUUGCUUGUAAAACCUUUUAUGUCAAAAAUUGGCAUGGGCUCUUAUAUAUAUACACCAGAAGAAACCCAACGUCCAAACAAGCAUAUCAGUUACCCUAAAUGUACAAAGAAAAUUACACAAAAUAUAACCGGUGAACAGUCACCAACUAGGGACAUAUAUGAACGACUCACCCGUUGUCCGAUUUCGAUUGUGCAAUUGUGAUUCUUAAAGGCAUAGAAAGGUUGGUUUUCAAGGAAGACUUUUUUCAUGAAAACCGAGAACGGUCCACCUGGGUUUUCUGUGAAUCCAUGAAAAAUGAGGGUGGGCUGGCUUCUUUUUCUUUUGCGAGAAAAUUUCCAAUCUAUUCAUCUUCAAUCAUGGCAGUACAACGAAUACCAAAAAUAAUAGAUAUUACAUCCAAAUCUAUAGACCACCUAGCGACGACUCCCAGCACUGAAGUGAGCUGAAGGCAUGCCGUCGUCAUCGCCCCUCCAUCGCCGGAGUCGGGCUCAACUUGUUGUAGUAAACAGUCGGGAAGUCGUCGUAUUAAGGCCACGUAGGACCAGUGCACCAGAAUAGCAACUGCCGCAGAUGAAGAAUAACAUAGAUCGGAAAGAUCUAAUCUGAGACGAACAACGACGAGAUCCGAGCAAAUCCACCAAAGAUAGAUUCGCCAGAGACACACCUCCACACGCCCACCAACGGUGCUAGAUGCACCACCGGAAUGGGUGCUAGACGGGGAGACUUUUAUUUCAUCUUCAGGGAGUCGCCGCCGUCUCGUCUUUCUGAACAGGACACAAACCCUAGCAAUAUUGAAAAAAAAACGACUAAAAACGAAGUCCUCCCACUGGCCCUUACCGAGAUCCACCAUGCCCCCAUGGCCCUAGGGCCACCGGAGAGAAAGCAGACAUGCGGCGGCACUGGUGGGAGACAUAAACCCUAUCUUUUUUGUGGAGGAGGAGGAGGAGGCGGCGACGGCUCGUAGGCGGCUGGCUUCUUUUAAUCUCAAGAAAAAAGGCCGCCUCGCGCCUACGAGCCGCUAAAAGAUCCAAAAAAGAACUGAACUAACCUUCAUAUUUUUCAUAAUUUUGGAUAUUUUGGUGAUGCCUGAAAUAUAUUUUGUUACAGUGCCCAAAUUUAAACCUUACUCUCGAGUAGGGACCCAUAUCUCAACAGAAACUAUAUGUGCAAAUCUCUGACUUCUCUUUACACUACGAGAAAAAGGGCUAUAGCCAAUAUGGACAUUAAUGACGCACUAUGUAUGUGGUGCGCCAUUGCUAUAUAGCAGUGGCGCACCAGAUAUAGGUACGCCAUUAGUGUCCUCAUUACUAAUGACGCACCAGACACACGGUGCGCCAUUACUAGCAUAUUGUAUUUUUAUUUUUCCAAAACUAUUAAUAGCGCACCAGCGCACAGUACGCCAUUAAUAGUUUUAACUAGUAAUGGCGCACGACACACAAGGUGCGCCAUUACUAACAUUUUUUUUUCCAAAACUAGUAAUGACGCACCAGAGUAUAGUGCGUCAUUACUAGUUCAAACUAGUAAUGGCGCACCACAACCAAGGUGUGCCACUACUAACAAUUAUAUAUAUUUUUGUUUUGCGAAACUAGUAAUGAUAUUUCUUCUGUUCUAGUCCUCAUGAAUAUUUAUUUAUGUGUUUAUUCUGGUAUUGAAUUUCUAACUCACAAAAAAUAUUGAAUUUAUUAAUAUUUUUUGAACUCAUGAAUAUUUUUAAAUUUUAUGGGCACUUUUUGAAUUCAUGAUUUUUUUAAAUUUGAUGAUAUUUUUUCAUAUUCAUAAAUUUCUUACCAAUUCACAAAUGAAUGCAACUAAAAAUCCAAAAAGAAUUGAUGAUAUUUUCAAAUAAUAAAUUUGAUGAUAUUUUCAAAUAACAAUUUUGGUGAUAUUUUUUCAUAUUCAUAAAUAUUUUCAAAUAACAAAUUUGAUGAUAUUUUUUCACAUUCAUAAAUAUUUUCAAAUUUGAUCAUCAUUUUCUAAAAAAAAUAUUAGAUGCAACUAAAAAUCCAAAAAAAAGGUUAGUAAUGACGCACCAGGGGAAGGUGCGCCAUUGCUAUCAAAGUACUUAUGGCGCACCCCUAGGAGAUGCGCCAUUGCUAACCUUCCCCCCUCGUUAACCCACCCUCGCCAGAUCCCCCUCGCCCGCUCUCGCUCUCCACCACCGCCGAGCAAACCCCCCGCGCCCGCUCUCCACCGCCGCUGAUGACCCCCCGCACCCGACGACCCCCGCGCCCGCUCCACCGCCGGAGCACUAGGAGGAGGAGUCCUUCUUCUUCCUCCAGCCGUCGCCAUCUCGCGGUCGCCACCGUCUCUCCGGUCCACCCCGGCCUUCACCGAGCCUGCCACGAUCUCCGUGGUGAGUCCCUCAGCCGUUCCUCCCUUCGAUCCGCCUCCAUAGGCCGUCGUAAGCCGCCGCUGUCGACCUUGCGCUCACCCCACAGCUGGCCCGUGUGCCCCUGGGCUCCUCUGCCACGCCUCGACGCACGCCCUCCCCGCUGCUCCUGCCCUUGGGCACGCAUCCUCCUGCGCGCCCCUGGCCAUCCCUCGCCCGUGCUCGUCCGCCCGUUGCCGCUCGCGCGAGCGCGUGCUGACUGUUGCCGCGCCGCCCCCGCUGCUGUUGUUGCUCUGCUGACUGCACUACUGCUGCUGUUGAUGUUCGCUGCUUGGCCGCUGCUUGUUGCUGCCUUGGCGUUGCUCUUUCCCACUGCUGAUGCUGCUCUCUGCUGCCGCCACACUACUGCUCUGCCUGCUGCUUGCUAGUUGCCCUUCCAACCCGAUUCCAUUCCAUUUGGUUACGCCGCUGUGCUGCUGAUGCUCGAUUGAUUGAAGUCCCCUGUCUGCAUCCUCCCUUGUUAACGAUCUGGAGGGUUGGUGCCAUUUCCAUGGGUAAUAAUCACUUUUUGAGCGAGUUAGUAAUUGUCGGCUGGCCCUGUCAUGUUCUUCCACCCCCGGGAACACAACACUCAUCUUUUUUAUCAGUUUCUUUUUGUUUGCACCGUUCAGGUCCACUCCUUUGUUUAAUCUAAUCAUCGUUGCCCACCAAUGCAUGAUAUGGGCAUCUCACCACCACCAUAAGAGAACACUAGGAUUAUCGCAUUCGGUUUUAGCAAUUUUAGCUAAUGCGGGAGAAUAAUAUUAUGUGUCGAACCGAGAGUGAGCGUCGUACUGUCAUGGGAAGGAUUUAUUAGGAGUGGCUAUUAAGUUGGUGCUUGACACUUGUGGGUGCAAUUGCAAAGCUUUCCCUUGUCCAUCAAUAUUAUGUGGUGCCUUUUCUUUUCUGAAUUUAAAGAGUGCCAACUUCGGCACUAAUCAGUGCCAACUUCAACCUCUUAGCCAGGCAACAAGUGGAUUCCACCACCUCCUCAUAGGAUUAAGCAAAGCCAAUUAAGAAAAAAGACAUCACCAUCAUAGAUCACACAUCCCUCAAGGAAGAACCACUUUCAGCUAUCCAUGAAGAACCACUUUCCUGCUUGUCUGCAAAGUGGUUGUUGGAGUCCAGAACACUUAGAUAGUUAGUCAAAUGAAUUGCUUGCUUGCUACUUUUUUUAGCUACUGUUUUUAUUAAAAAAAUUGGAGUUUAUAUCAUAUAUAUUGCUGGCAUGUAUUUCAUAUGUUCUGUAGCAUUAAGGCUACAUAGCAUGCCAUUUUUGUGCCUUGUAUUAAUUGCUUUCCCUACAUGUUUACAGGUUUAAGUGAAAAAAGAGGAAGAAAGGAGAAUCAGGGUAGGGUUUCAUGGCUAGAAGAUAUAUUGCUGGAUUUUGUCUUCGACCAUCGUGUCGUGAUGAUAUUGGGGGGUUUUGUCUCCGACCAUCGUGUCAUGAUGAUAUUGCGGGGUGUUGUGGGGUUGCAGCGGGGCGGGGGUGGGAUAAUGAUUUUGUAGGUACCCCGAGAGGCCCUUGAGUUUGCCGGAAUGUCGAUUAACUUCCGUUCUGGCAAAUUCGGGUACUCCAUAUGUCCUAUUUUCAACAAAGGUCAUGCUAAAAUUUUCCGUGAAUUUUAGCAUGACUUUGCUAAAAAUAGGACAUAUGGGGUACUUGCGACUAAUGCAUGGGCCUGGGUAUCUUAGUACUUAAUUAAGUAGGAUCAACUGCCUCUUGUGUUAUAUAUAUAGAAGUGUGAUAUCAACUCAUAGUUAUUAUUAAUGUCAAGAGAUGAUGUAGUUUUGAAUUAUGAACGUAGGAAAUGUCGUCAUCGGACGACGAAAGUCUCCCGGGGGAGUGCGACUGGUGCCACGACGAUCGAGGUUUGUGCGACAGGCCUCACUUGGAUGAUGAUCGACGCUUCAGCAUUAAGCUCGAGGAGACCUUCGAAAUUGAAAUGGUACACAAUGACGACAAGUGUUUUUUUUCAUAAUUAAGCAUGACUUCAACUAUUUCAACGUGUAAUUUUCAUCUUUCAUAAUUCGAGUAUAGCUUAUCCUAUGCCAUGCAAGACACUAUGCCUUGGAAGGAUGGAUUUUGAAGACCAUGAAAGUUAUUACGAAACAAAAAAAAUUCACCUAAGGACUCAUUAUGAUGUGGAUUUUGAAGUAAAUCUGUAUGAUUCUGGGAGCGUAACCCAUUUUGGUUGCAAAAAUUGGGAAGCAUUUUGCAAGAUGUAUGGUUUUGACGAGGGUAUGCUUAUCACCAUGGAUCUUGGUGAUCCUGACAUCGACCAAGACAAUAUGGACAUUUGGGUCCUUGUUGAUACGCCUCCAGUUCUACCGCUAUGUGAGUUUCUCAAACAUAGUUAAUUAUUAACUAAUUUAUAUUGUUCAGUUCAAAAUAGUUGACAACUUAUUUCCAUUGACAACUUAUUUUGAUUCUUCAAAGAAUGUGCGGGAGAUGGUAGACAAAACCCACUACACCGAUGGCUCCAAAUUAACUUACAAGGUGAAAAAUCAUCUGGUCAGAUUUUGUACUGACAUUGAGAAUUACAAUAUCUACAAUCAAACUCCUCAACAUUAUGAUCAAUACGUGCCACUAGUGCAUGUGUUGAACUACGGUAACUACCAUGGAGAUACCCUGAUAAGAUUUUUUUACUAUUACGACAUCCGUGCAUCUUUUGCAUACUUCUAAAACUAGUACAUCAUUGCUAACUAUGAAGUUAUUACUAUGUUUUUCAACAGAUAAUCCCAAAGAAUUGUGUGCCUCAUUUGAUGUAUCAGAAAGUUAGCCUUAAUGUUUUGAACAUACAACCAGGUCAUCCUACGAAUCUCAACUGUCCAUACCAGAUUUCUAAAAGAAGUGGAGACAUGCAAAUCAAAGGAUGGAAAAAAUGUAUGGACAGUCGUAAGGAGGUUCUUGGAAGCAAAAAGAAGCGAAGCGCAAGAAUUGGAGAUAGGAUGAUCUCCAUUCUCCAUAAUGGAGACUCAGGGUCUAUUUUGUUUUAUGCUAUUUUACCUUAAAGAGGGUAUUUAGGUCCUACCUAAUACUGAUGAUCAUGUGCUAAGAACAAUUAAGUAGGGUUGGUUCGAUGACUAUGAGGAUGAUGAUCAUAUGACUUGUUAUGAAUAACGAGUAGAAGUUGUAUGAUGAUGAUUAGUAGGACUUGUUAUUAUGAUGAUAUCCAUGAUGCGAGCAUGAAGAGUUAUUAUAUAUCUGUGGGUGAAAUGAACAUGGAUUGGAUUGAAGUGAAGGCAACAUGCAUGUGGUGCAUGUCAAAAGUAGUACAAUCUAAACUUGAUCAAGUUAGGAUUAGUAUUACUUUCGACAUGCACCACAUGUUGCCUCAGUUCAAUCUAAGUCAUGUUUACGCAUAGCAGUAGCAGUAGCACGGAGAUAAGAGAGGACACAUCUCUCAAUUAUCUCCGAAUGCAGUAUUACUUUCGACAAACUCGCUACUCGCGGUCUCGAGACUUGUAAUGUUCUAACUUUGUUCGGUCUUUUGAAUUUGGAGACUAAUAUGAUGAAUUGUAUUCGGAGACUAAGGCCCUCUUUGAUUCGCAGGAUUUUCAAAUCGUAGGAAUAGGAAAAGUAUAGGGUUGGAGUGGCAUGCACACAUGAAUCCUACAGGAUUAGCAUGGAGUGUUUGAUGGCACAGGAAAAGCAAAGGAAUUGUAAAAAGAGGUUGGAGUGGAUGUUAGAUUUCCUAUGAAAUGUAGUACAAAAGAUUUCAUAGGAAAAAUUCCUAUGGGAUCCAAUCCUAUGAAUCAAAGAACCAACAUAGGAAAAAUUCUUAAGGAUUUCAAUCCUCCAGAAAUCCUAUAGAAUUCCUUUGAAUCAAAGGAGCCCUAAUCUUCUAUUAUAUUUGAUGAAUCUGCUGUUUAUAUGGUGUGCUGUCUAUAUUCUGUGCAGUAAUAUAUGUUGUAACCUGUGCAAAUAUCAGAAAAUAAAAAAAUUCUAAUAUUCAUACUAGUGGCGCACCAAACAUCAUAUUAGUGGCGCACUGCUAUAAAAAAAUACUAGUGGCGCAUUAUCUGUUAGUGCGCCAUUAGUAACCCAGAGCACAAGGUAAAUAUGGCCCCCUGGGAGGCAUACUUAUGGCGCACCGUGUGACUUACUAAUGGCGCACUGCCUCGUGCGUCACUAUAGUAUGGUAUACUAAUGACGCGUCAUUAAUAUAUGUUACUAGUGGCGUGCCAAAACAGAUGCGCCACUAAUAAGCUUUUUCCUAAUAGUGUUAUCUCUUUGCCCAUCUCGGCUAAACUGUUCAGUUGUCCUCUGCGCAAAGUUGUUGGCAUCCUAUGCAAGCAAGUAGGCGUUUCGGUUCAAUGUAACACGAAUUUAGGGACCGAUCGAUAUAAUUGUGGCCUGUGGGCACCUCGUGCCAAACGCCAAAAAUAUGCACCUUGCCGUGUGCGUCGCUUUUGGCAAGUCAUCAUGGAAGCCGCGUAUGUUCACUGAGGCGAAGAACACCACAACUCUCCAACCGAUCCAAUCUCUAGGGAGAAAACACGGUACCUAAAAAAUUCUACAGGGUGCGUGGUAGAGCCCGAGUCGGCAUCGUACGGCACUGCUAAGGUUCAAGGGAGGAAAAAGGGUAGACGUGGCAGCUUAUGGCAUCGUGUAGUGUGUUUACAGUGUUACGUCCAUGACGGUCGCAUCGUAGCAGAAAAUUACCUCUCCUGUCCCCGCAGAUGAUUGGAUAGGGGCCUCUUGUAUGUACUCAACAUAUGGCUAAGGCGAAGUUCCGGAUUCCCUUGCCCCCGAAGCAACUGGACGUGUAUAAAUGUGCACAGAUGCAGGGCACGGUCCGUGCGAGUUCCCCUCUGGUUCUUCCUUGUGAAUUGACUGCGAGAGAGAGAGAGAGAGAGAGAGAGAGAGAGAGAGAGAGAGAGAGAGAGAGAUCCGGGAGGAAAAUUCCUUGGUCCUUGGUCGGUUGCACCCGUAGUUCUGCUAUAAAUACAUAGUACCGCCCGCCUAAUCAAUCGCUCUCACGCCCUCCGUCGUCCUCUUCUUCCUCCAGACGAAGCAAUCAUGGUGAGGCUGGGGCCUCUGGCCGCGCAGCACGCGGGAGCGUUCGCCCGCGACCUGGGGCUGGGAAGCCCCGCGGCGCUCGUGGCCUUCGCGGUCGUCGCGACGGUGGCGGUGGCGGCCGUGGCGGCCUUCGGCUGCGCCAAGGGGGCCAAGAAGCCGCGCCGGCAAGACAAGAACAACGUCUACUACUACGGCCAGGGGUAUCCGCCGCCGCCACCCGCGGGCGCGUACGGUUACCCGGCGCAGCAGCCGGCCCCGGGCUACGCGUACCCACCGCCGCCCGCCGACGCUGGGAGGAAGCAGGGGCGCAUGGGCGGUGGCGCGGGGCUCGCCCUCGGUGCUGGCGCUGGCCUGGCCACCGGCGUCAUCGUCGGCUCGGCGCUCAGCUCCGGGUGCGGAGGAGGCGGCGGGUGCGGUGGUGGCUGCGGUGGCGGAUGCGGUGGUGGCUGCGGCGGUUGACCUGGUCGUACGUGUUUCAUGGCUUGCGUUGGUGUGCGUACGUAGUGGUUAGACAGUUGGGGCUUUGAUAAUUGUAGAUAUACUACUUACUACACUAUACAGUAUCGCGUGUGACGAUCGGCAUAUCUCUACGCCCGCUUGUUCGAUUACUACGUGAUGAGUAUAUUGUGAAAGCAGCAUAUGAUUUGGGGCGUGCAUGGAUGCCGUUCUUUUCCAUGUAACAACUGAUGAUCGACACAUACAUGGAUAUGAAAAUGCUGGUUUGGUUGCAGGAGAAGAUAUCUUUGAGUUGGAAAUACUUCACC
This 11849-nucleotide long non-coding RNA is filed under the name Triticum aestivum (bread wheat). RNAcentral's name for it is "long non-coding RNA (TAES_LNC021427)". The record is from RNAcentral. Lineage: Eukaryota; Viridiplantae; Streptophyta; Magnoliopsida; Poales; Poaceae.